GCAACUGAAGUCCUAGAAAAAAU
RNAcentral lists this non-coding RNA (23 nucleotides) under Cricetulus griseus (Chinese hamster). The record is from RNAcentral. Lineage: Eukaryota; Metazoa; Chordata; Mammalia; Rodentia; Cricetidae.